CGAAAGUUUAGAUUUUUUUAUUGAUUAGUUUGUACAUAAGAGUCUGAUUUGUACGAUGUAUUUUUUUAAGUGUGUAUAAUGAGUUUAGUAUGAUUAAAACCUUUAAAAUAUAAAAUAUGUACUGAAAUUUUAUACUUAAGACUAGUCCUUUGUUUUAAGUUGUUUUCAAAACAAGAACAAAAAAGAAGGUAUGAUAGCAGCCAUUUUUUGUUAAUUGUAAUUCCUUAAUUUUUUCCUCAGGUUUAUGUAAUGUUUUAAAAGUUUUGGAAAAACAAUAUUGUCACUUUAAUGCGAAAAUGCCAUUAAAGAUUUCAUUCACCCCCCCCCCCCAAAAAAAAAAAACAAAACAAAAAAACAUUUGGCGACGCCUUGUGGCAAAAUAUCUUUUUGGGUAAGGCUGCUCAUUUUAUAAUAUCAAAAUGAAGAUCCCGAAGUUAGAUAAUUUCGCCAGUGUAGAGCAAUCAUACCUUCUCCCUUAUAUCCUUCAAUUGAUUCAGCUAAAUUAUUUGACGUGUGUAUUGACCUGUGUCGAUUCAAUAAAAUAAUAAUGCAACAUAACAUAUUUAUUUGCUUUUAAUUGUACCCCUUGAAGGUCUUGCUGAAAUAAAGAUUCCAAACC
This 619-nucleotide long non-coding RNA is filed under the name Mytilus galloprovincialis (Mediterranean mussel). Lineage: Eukaryota; Metazoa; Mollusca; Bivalvia; Mytilida; Mytilidae. The record is from RNAcentral.